This 449-nucleotide ribosomal RNA is filed under the name uncultured bacterium. Its description in RNAcentral is "partial 16S ribosomal RNA". It matches the Rfam family "Bacterial small subunit ribosomal RNA", at positions 29 to 523 of the family's 1533-position model. The record is from RNAcentral.
AACGAACGCUGGCGGCAUGCCUAACACAUGCAAGUCGAACGAGACCUUCGGGUCUAGUGGCGCACGGGUGCGUAACGCGUGGGAAUCUGCCCCUGGGUUCGGAAUAACAGUAAGAAAUGACUGCUAAUACCGGAUGAUGUCUUCGGACCAAAGAUUUAUCGCCCAAGGAUGAGCCCGCGUAGGAUUAGCUAGUUGGUGAGGUAAAGGCUCACCAAGGCGACGAUCCCUAGCUGGGCUGAGAGGCUGAUCAGCAACCCUGGGACUGAGACAGGGCCCAGACUACUACGGGAGGCAGCAGUGGGGAAUAUUGGACAAUGGGCGAAAGCCUGAUCCAGCAAUGCCGCGUGAGUGAUGAAGGCCCUAGGGUUGUAAAGCUCUUUUACCCGGGAUGAUAAUGACAGUACCGGGAGAAUCAGCCCCGGCUAACUCCGUGCCAGCCGCCGCCGUAA